UACGAAGGGGGCUAGCGUUGCUCGGAUUCAUUGGGCGUAAAGGGUGCGUAGGCGGCGCGGUAAGUCGGGUGUGAAAUCCCUCGGCUUAACCGAGGAACUGCGUCUGAGACUGGUGAGCUUGAGGGUAAGAGAGGAACGCAGAAUUCCAGGUGUAGCGGUGAAAUGCGUAGAUAUCUGGAGGAAUACCGGUGGCGAAGGCGGCGUUCUGGACUACAUCUGACACUGAUGAACGAAAGCCAGGGGAGCAAACGGG
Molecule: ribosomal RNA, 253 nt
Filed under: uncultured bacterium
Lineage: Bacteria
Description: partial 16S ribosomal RNA
Rfam family: Bacterial small subunit ribosomal RNA
Source: RNAcentral